Long non-coding RNA from Oncorhynchus nerka (sockeye salmon), 738 nucleotides. RefSeq lists it as uncharacterized. The transcript has 2 exons. Lineage: Eukaryota; Metazoa; Chordata; Actinopteri; Salmoniformes; Salmonidae. The record is from RefSeq and is a predicted model, not a curated record.
CCACCCUUAGCAGCUUUGGCAGAAAGUAUUUUCAACCCUGAAAAAGGGGGAAGUAGGGACUCUGCUCCGGCGUCUUUCUACACACGACCAAGCGUGUCAACAGACGAGGUUGGCUUCGAAGACUAUAAAAAUGCAUUGUGGUUUCUAGCCAGCAUAGGUUAAUAAUUACCAAGAGCAAGGGAGUGGACAUAUAUAGAACACUACUGAAGAAACCAUUCGUACUACUGCUAUCCUCCAGUUACUGUACCAGUGGACCAGAAAAAAGAGACACCCAAUGGCCCUUCAAUGCCUGGCUGCCUUUCUUCGGAGUGGAGUAGCUUAAGGCUAAUCUCCUGCGCAUGCCGACACCCUAAGAACUACAAGAGCUACACCCUAAGAACUACAAGCCCUAAGAACUACAAGAGCGACACCCUAAGAACUACAAGAGCUACACCCUAAGAACCCAAGUCUUAUUUUCUUUCCAUAUCUGAUCUUUUUUUUCUGACUGCCCACACUCAGUUUUACAUGUGACCCCUAUCAGAUGUGUGCAUUCACAUUGAUGUAGCCUCUGAAGUAUCACACAUACUCAAUUCUCAUUUCCUGUCACUGUUCCUUUCAAUUUUGUGUAGUUGUUGUUGUGGUAACGGCAGGUCAUGUGCUAACAAUCUGAGUGUCCAGACUGAGGUCACAUACGGAGCAUCAGAAUUGUUUCUACUAAAUGUGUAUGUGAUCAAUAAAAUGUUAUUUGAAUGAAUGCAA